CAACAUCCUAACAGUCAUAUUUUCUGCUCGUCAGCUCCAGACAUUAACGUGAAUAAUGUGGAAGGUAAAACAACACAUCCUCUGGAUUUGAGGGCUGAGCGUGCCUGGAAGGAAAGAGGGGUGUUGAAAACAGGUGAGCAGCCCUUCUCCUGGUACAGCCAGCAAGCUUGUCCACACAGUGUUUGGUGUGGUACUUAUUCUACCCUUCAGGACAAUGCUUUCUUGGUACUUCUGAAUGCUGCUGCUGGCUCCUGCAACCACACACACACACACGCACACCUGUAACGCACUCCUCUGAAAAACUCUAAUCUCAGACAGAAUGCAGCCAGCUGAAACCAGCAGUGGAACAUCCUUCUCUAGAUACCUCAGGACAUAAUGGAGACUGACUUUCUGGGAGAUUGCUUGGCUGGGUGGAGAAUGAAGACUUUAAUUUCAAGCCAUCUUGUUUGCAGUUUCCUUGAGAAAAAAAUCUUGGUUUGGAUGACACCCAGUAUAAUAUGAUUUAUUUGGUGUAAGUGCAAGAAUUUUUCUCUUUAAUUUUCUCAUUUCCUGAACAUAGGGCCUUUUUUUGAGAUUUUUUUUUCUUUCCACUGUUGUUGACAUAUUUGGUUUCAUUUUUAAGAGCAAAAAAAAUUAUUUAGGAGAAAGGCUUAAUUAAGUUUUCUAGGGAUAUUAAUUUGGCGAUUACUUGCGUUACUUAACUAAAGAAAAGCCAAAUAAAACUAUAUAGCUAUGAUUUCAAGGCAUAGCACUUCAGAAUAAGUGUCAGACAAAAUUGUUUCUUGUUAUGAUCUGGGGAGUGGCCUAUGAAAGCUGUUUUGAGUUUGGAGGAAUUUUGAAGUUGUUGCUUUAUGGAAAUUAUGAUGUUUCUGGAG
RNAcentral lists this long non-coding RNA (875 nucleotides) under Homo sapiens (human). RNAcentral describes it as "HSALNT0150922". The record is from RNAcentral. Lineage: Eukaryota; Metazoa; Chordata; Mammalia; Primates; Hominidae.